AUACUUGUAAAUGUCUUGCAAAAAGCUGGUUUUCCUAGAGUGAGGCUUAUCCAUUGCAUUCUGGUUGGGCUGACUCCUUCUAUUUCCUCAAAUGCAGGAGACUCAACUGUAUAAUUUGUGGUAGUGGGAGACCACAUUCCAGCUUUCCUU
RNAcentral lists this small nuclear RNA (150 nucleotides) under Notamacropus eugenii (tammar wallaby). RNAcentral describes it as "U1 spliceosomal RNA (ENSMEUG00000018130.1)". It matches the Rfam family "U1 spliceosomal RNA". Rfam says of the family: U1 is a small nuclear RNA (snRNA) component of the spliceosome (involved in pre-mRNA splicing). The record is from RNAcentral. Lineage: Eukaryota; Metazoa; Chordata; Mammalia; Diprotodontia; Macropodidae.